This is a long non-coding RNA of Haemorhous mexicanus (house finch), 332 nucleotides long. RefSeq lists it as uncharacterized. NCBI's taxonomy places the organism in Eukaryota, Metazoa, Chordata, Aves, Passeriformes, Fringillidae. The record is from RefSeq and is a predicted model, not a curated record. The transcript is spliced from 2 exons.
UUGGACAAGAAUUGUUUCUGAGCUGCUGUUCACUAGCACGUGUUUCCCCUUUCCAGCGCGGUGCCGCCGCCCAAGAAAGGAUUUUUGUGGGUCAGCCAGAUGUGCUCCUGCCUCCCACUGAGGCUCUGAGAUGGAGCCGAGUUUGCAUUCCAGUUUAUUGCAACAGAGGGUCACGGGAAAUUUCCUCAGCUGUCUCAGGCACAGAGCCAUGGAAGCAAGACAGCACGAAGACUGAACGUGUAAGAAGAUGUGGGGUGCAAUGGAGAACCUGGCAGGAGCAUCCGACGCACACGUGCACGAGUUUUGCUUUUUGCUUGGAUUGAAACUCAAAA